RNAcentral lists this transfer RNA (78 nucleotides) under Candidatus Thermokryptus mobilis. RNAcentral's name for it is "tRNA-Val". It matches the Rfam family "tRNA". Rfam says of the family: Transfer RNA (tRNA) molecules are approximately 80 nucleotides in length. The record is from RNAcentral. Lineage: Bacteria; Pseudomonadati; Candidatus Kryptoniota.
GGGCGGUUAGCUCAGUUGGUUCAGAGCGCCACCCUUACAAGGUGGAGGUCAGAGGUUCGAAUCCUCUACCGCCCACUA